GACGAACGCUGGCGGCGUGCUUAACACAUGCAAGUCGAACGGAGUGCCCAUGACAGAGGUUUCGGCCAAUUGAUUGGGUUACUUAGUGGCGGACUGGUGAGUAACGCGUGAGGAACCUGCCUUUCAGAGGGGGACAACAGUUGGAAACGACUGCUAAUACCGCAUGACGCAUGACUGGGGCAUCCCGGACAUGCCAAAGAUUUAUCGCUGAAAGAUGGCCUCGCGUCUGAUUAGAUAGUUGGCGGGGUAACGGCCCACCAAGUCGACGAUCAGUAGCCGGACUGAGAGGUUGACGGCCACAUUGGGACUGAGAUACGGCCCAGACUCCUACGGGAGGCAGCAGUGGGGAAUAUUGGGGCAAUGGACGCAAGUCUGACCCAGCAACGCGCGUGAAGGAAG
This 399-nucleotide ribosomal RNA is filed under the name uncultured bacterium. RNAcentral describes it as "bacterial SSU rRNA". It matches the Rfam family "Bacterial small subunit ribosomal RNA", at positions 28 to 410 of the family's 1533-position model. The record is from RNAcentral.